Molecule: ribosomal RNA, 707 nt
Filed under: uncultured bacterium
Lineage: Bacteria
Description: bacterial SSU rRNA
Rfam family: Bacterial small subunit ribosomal RNA
Source: RNAcentral
AGAGUUUGAUCCUGGCUCAGGGUUAACGCUGGCGGUGCGCAUAACACAUGCAAGUCGAGCGAGGGCUUAUUUCCCGCAAGGGAGAUGAGUUCCUAGCGGCGAACGGGUGAGUAACACGUGGGUAACCUUUCCUAUCGCGGGGGAUAACACCGGGAAACCGAUGCUAAUACCGCAUGUCGUCACUGGUCGCAUGGCUGGUGAAGAAAGCAGCAAUGCACGAUGGGGUGGGCCCGCGGCCUAUCAGCUAGUCGGUGGGGUAACGGCCUACCGAGGCGAUGACGGGUAGCUGGUCUGAGAGGACGGCCAGCCACACGGGGACUGAGACACGGCCCCGACUCCUACGGGAGGCAGCAGUGAGGAAUCUUCCGCAAUGGGCGAAAGCCUGACGGAGCGACACCGCGUGUGGGAUGAAGUCUUUCGGGAUGUAAACCACUGUCGGAGGGGAAGACAAAAAAGACGGUACCCUCCAAGAAAGCCCCGGCUAACUACGUGCCAGCAGCCGCGGUAAUACGUAGGGGGCAAGCGUUAUCCAGAUUUACUGGGCGUAAAGCGCGUGUAGGCGGCUGGUUAAGCUGUGAUGUGAAAUCUUCCGGCUCAACCGGAAAACUGCAUUGCAAACUGGCCUGGCUCGAGUGCAGGAGAGGGAAGCGGAAUUCCCAGGUGUAGCGGUGAAAUGCGUAGAUAUCUGGGAGGAACACCAGUGGCGA